RNAcentral lists this ribosomal RNA (535 nucleotides) under uncultured Mycobacterium sp. Its description in RNAcentral is "bacterial SSU rRNA". It matches the Rfam family "Bacterial small subunit ribosomal RNA", at positions 54 to 606 of the family's 1533-position model. Lineage: Bacteria; Bacillati; Actinomycetota; Actinomycetes; Mycobacteriales; Mycobacteriaceae. The record is from RNAcentral.
CAUGCAAGUCGAACGGAAAGGCCCUUCGGGGUACUCGAGUGGCGAACGGGUGAGUAACACGUGGGUGAUCUGCCCUGCACUUUGGGAUAAGCCUGGGAAACUGGGUCUAAUACCGGAUAGGACCGCGCUCUUCAUGGGGUGUGGUGGAAAGCUUUUGCGGUGUGGGAUGGGCCCGCGGCCUAUCAGCUUGUUGGUAGGGUAAUGGCCUACCAAGGCGACGACGGGUAGCCGGCCUGAGAGGGUGACCGGCCACACUGGGACUGAGAUACGGCCCAGACUCCUACGGGAGGCAGCAGUGGGGAAUAUUGCACAAUGGGCGCAAGCCUGAUGCAGCGACGCCGCGUGAGGGAUGACGGCCUUCGGGUUGUAAACCUCUUUCACCCACGACGAAGCGCAAGUGACGGUAGUGGGAGAAGAAGGACCGGCCAACUACGUGCCAGCAGCCGCGGUAAUACGUAGGGUCCGAGCGUUGUCCGGAAUUACUGGGCGUAAAGAGCUCGUAGGUGGUUUGUCGCGUUGUUCGUGAAAACUCACA